This 451-nucleotide ribosomal RNA is filed under the name uncultured Cetobacterium sp. RNAcentral's name for it is "bacterial SSU rRNA". It matches the Rfam family "Bacterial small subunit ribosomal RNA", at positions 30 to 498 of the family's 1533-position model. Lineage: Bacteria; Fusobacteriati; Fusobacteriota; Fusobacteriia; Fusobacteriales; Fusobacteriaceae. The record is from RNAcentral.
UGAACGCUGACAGAAUGCUUAACACAUGCAAGUCGAUUCGAUUUACCUUCGGGUAUUGAGGAUGGCGGACGGGUGAGUAACGCGUAAGGAACUUGCCUCUUGGUCUGGGACAACUGUUGGAAACGACAGCUAAUACCGGAUAUUAUGAGAUUCUCGCAUGGGAAACUUAUGAAAGCUAUAUGCGCCAAGAGAGAGCCUUGCGUUCCAUUAGCUAGUUGGUGGGGUAACGGCCCACCAAGGCGACGAUGGAUAGCCGGCCUGAGAGGGUGAACGGCCACAAGGGGACUGAGACACGGCCCUUACUCCUACGGGAGGCAGCAGUGGGGAAUAUUGGACAAUGGGCCACAAGCCUGAUCCAGCAAUUCUGUGUGCACGAUGAAGGUCUUCGGAUUGUAAAGUGCUUUCAGUUGGGAAGAAGAAAGUGACGGUACCAACAGAAGAAGCGACGGCU